UCCCAAACUGACAGUGCUGCCCCCCCUGGACACCAGCGGGAGUUCGGCCACGCUCAUGUGCCUGGCUAACGGAGGCUUCCCGUCCGACUGGAGUCUGAGCUGGUCUGUAGCGGGGAGCAGCAGGAGCGGGGAGACCAGUCUCUGGGGCCCACAGAAGGACGGCCUGUACAGCUGGAGCAGCACCCUGACCCUCCCUCUCCAGGAGUGGACCCAGGACGUCCCAGUGACCUGCCAGGCAACACGGGGCUCCCAGACUGUCACCAAGAUCCUGAAGAAAUCAGACUGCUCCUAGGCUCUGCUUUAAUGUCUGCCAUUAUUCUGAUUUAGAGUGUGUCUGAUAGGGACUCUUCCUCUCUUCCUCUCUCUAUGUGUGUGCAGC
Non-coding RNA from Engraulis encrasicolus (European anchovy), 379 nucleotides. Lineage: Eukaryota; Metazoa; Chordata; Actinopteri; Clupeiformes; Engraulidae. The record is from the annotation of a RefSeq genome assembly.